GUUUGAUCCUGGCUCAGAUUGAACGCUGGCGGCAUGCCUUACACAUGCAAGUCGAACGGCAGCACGGGGGUAACCCUGGUGGCGAGUGGCGAACGGGUGAGUAGAGCAUCGGAACGUAUCCUGGAGAGGGGGAUAACGUAGCGAAAGUUACGCUAAUACCGCAUAUUCUCUGAGGAGGAAAGUGGGGGACCGAAAGGCCUCGCGCUUUGGGAGCGGCCGAUGUCGGAUUAGCUAGUUGGUGGGGUAAAGGCCUACCAAGGCGACGAUCCGUAGCGGGUCUGAGAGGAUGAUCCGCCACACUGGGACUGAGACACGGCCCAGACUCCUACGGGAGGCAGCAGUGGGGAAUUUUGGACAAUGGGCGCAAGCCUGAUCCAGCCAUGCCGCGUGAGUGAAGAAGGCCUCGG
Molecule: ribosomal RNA, 407 nt
Filed under: uncultured bacterium
Lineage: Bacteria
Description: bacterial SSU rRNA
Rfam family: Bacterial small subunit ribosomal RNA
Source: RNAcentral